GACGAACGCUGGCGGCGUGCUUAACACAUGCAAGUCGAACGGAAAGGCCCUGCUUUUGUGGGGUGCUCGAGUGGCGAACGGGUGAGUAACACGUGAGUAACCUGCCCUUGACUUUGGGAUAACUUCAGGAAACUGGGGCUAAUACCGGAUAGGAGCUCCUGCUGCAUGGUGGGGGUUGGAAAGAUUCGGCGGUUGGGGAUGGACUCGCGGCGUAUCAGCUUGAUGGUGGGGUAGUGGCUUACCAAGGCUUUGACGGGUAGCCGGCCUGAGAGGGUGACCGGCCACAUUGGGACUGAGAUACGGCCCAGACUCCUACGGGAGGCAGCAGUGGGGAAUAUUGCACAAUGGGCGGAAGCCUGAUGCAGCAACGCCGCGUGCGGGAUGACGGCCUUCGGGUUGUAAACCGCUUUCGCCUGUGACGAAGCGUGAGUGACGGUAAUGGGUAAAGAAGCACCGGCUAACUACGUG
RNAcentral lists this ribosomal RNA (468 nucleotides) under uncultured bacterium. RNAcentral describes it as "partial 16S ribosomal RNA". It matches the Rfam family "Bacterial small subunit ribosomal RNA", at positions 28 to 507 of the family's 1533-position model. The record is from RNAcentral.